AAAGUUAUAAAAGUAUUUUAUUUUAAUUCUUGAAAUAUGGUGAGUAGAACUUGGUAAUUAUUAAUAUAUUUCAUUAAUAAUUACAUUAUAAUAUUGUUAAUCUACCUAAUGAUAUGUAUUUUAUAUAAAUUAAGGAAAAUUCUAUCCCAAUUGAAAUCCAUGCUCAAAAAUUGAGUGAAUGGUUAAUGAGUAGAAAACACUGUAAGAAAGAUUGGCAUUCACAUAUACAAUUAAUUAGAGAAAAAAUCAACACAGCUAUACAAGACAUGCCCGAAAAUAAGGAAAUCGUUCAACUGUUGUCUGGAACUUGUAUGUAUUAAAAACCUUAUA
This 330-nucleotide long non-coding RNA is filed under the name Cinara cedri. Lineage: Eukaryota; Metazoa; Arthropoda; Insecta; Hemiptera; Aphididae. The record is from RNAcentral.